RNAcentral lists this ribosomal RNA (515 nucleotides) under uncultured archaeon. Its description in RNAcentral is "bacterial SSU rRNA". It matches the Rfam family "Archaeal small subunit ribosomal RNA", at positions 345 to 859 of the family's 1478-position model. The record is from RNAcentral.
AACCUUUACACUGCACGACAGUGCGAUAAGGGAAUCCCAAGUGCGUAGGCAUAGAGCCUACGCUUUUGUCCACCGUAGGGAGGUGGACGAAUAAGGGCUGGACAAGACCGGUGCCAGCCGCCGCGGUAAUACCGGCAGCCCGAGUGAUGGCCGAUCUUAUUGGGCCUAAAGCGUCCGUAGCUGGCCGCACAAGUCCAUCGGAAAAUCCACCCGCUCAACGGGUGGGCGUCCGGUGGAAACUGUGUGGCUUGGGACCGGAAGGCGCGACGGGUACGUCCGGGGUAGGAGUGAAAUCCCGUAAUCCUGGACGGACCGCCGAUGGCGAAAGCACGUCGCGAGAACGGAUCCGACAGUGAGGGACGAAAGCUAGGGUCUCGAACCGGAUUAGAUACCCGGGUAGUCCUAGCCGUAAACAAUGCCUGCUAGGUGUGGCUCCCACUACGAGUGGGUGCUGUGCCGUAGGGAAGCCGCUAAGCAGGCCGCCUGGGAAGUACGUCCGCAAGGAUGAAACUUAA